RNAcentral lists this unclassified non-coding RNA (1867 nucleotides) under Neodiprion pinetum (white pine sawfly). RNAcentral describes it as "uncharacterized LOC124223818, transcript variant X4". Lineage: Eukaryota; Metazoa; Arthropoda; Insecta; Hymenoptera; Diprionidae. The record is from RNAcentral.
UUAUUUCGGCCCAACGCACGAAACUCGGUGGACGGUAAACAUGGUGUGUUAUACGAGAAUAGCAGCCUAUAAAGCGAAUCGUGUGCGGUUCGCAGCGUCGCCCUACCACGGUCCACGUCUUCCCUCCGAAGUAGUGAUACAAGUGUAGAUGUAAAUGCCUUAAUUACAAAUACGGGGCUAAUCACCCGAAAUUUGAAAAUUCCAAGUCACCACGGUCCUACAGUUUCCGACCAAUGCAAGCUGUCGGCACUUUCGUUUCAUAUUAAUCGAAACAGGGCUACGCGUUGACACUGCACUCACGACACGGUCGACGGAUAUGGAUAUGACAUGGAUACGGGAAGAUUGGGUUACGGAACUUUGUUAUCAAAAGAAGACCUCUAAGUUUCAGCGCGCUCGUCGUCCGUGAUAUCAAAGGACAAAAUCAGCCGCCUUUGCAGCCUCGCCAAUCGCCGAACAACGGUCAAACGAUCAACCACCGCUUGAUUGACCGAUGUACCCCCGCAUGCCUACGUACGUACGUACAUAGGCAGAUGUGCACGUAUAAUGUUCACCGUACGUUUAUCACUGUGUUUUUAUGGGUUCAGCUCAUCGUCCACGCCUAUCACGGCUAUCACCUGAAACCUGAAACGAUCGACAUCUCUCUACCCUGCGUAGAUUGACAAUUGAAUGUCGUGAUCACGUGAUAGAUUCCAGAAAAAUUCCCGGUAAUCGUGAUUGAAAUGGAGGAGUUUUACCUUAUAAACGUCACAUGAUAGACAUUGGUAUUAACAAGCCUCCGCGGCGUCUCAUACUCUGGAGUAUUUCGAAAUUCGACAUCGGCUUACGAUCUGACCGGCGUGUUGGAUUUUCGGGGACAUGCGGAUCCUAACGAAGCACAAGGAGCUAAUUGAACGCGAUGCCAACGACAUUUCAAUACUAUGGAAAUUACUACAAAUGUUGUUCUACUGUGUUAGCGCAAUAGCCGGCUACGUCACCGCACACGCAUUUUUUAUGUUUCAGGUAUAAUUCAGCUCUGAUCUCGUCAAUGGGACAACCUUGGCAAGACAGGCUGACAGUCAGUUACAACACUCAACAUCAUUGCUCUACGAUACAGAUAAUAUCGAUUCUUUCGUGUAUCUGUGGUAUUGUUGGCUUUUCUUUCUUUUCCAUAUGUGGGCGCGGAGGUUACCAAGUUGGAAUAUACUACAGUCCCUGGAGACUGGUUGGACCGGCUAUACUUUUCAACUUAUGUCUGACGUUGCUAACUUGGCGGUCGGCCUGCAAUUUCCAAGAGGGAUUCCAUCAUUUUCAAUACCGUCUCAAUGGGAUGCUAAAUCAAUCUGGGAAUGAACCCAUCACGGAAUACCUGCCGACAGGCAAAAAAAACACCUACAAUAGACUUGUGUGGAAAUAUUAUGGAAUCACAAAGGUAUGGCACGAUGACAAUUCUAUCACACUCCAAAUUGACAUCCUUACGUGACGCUGAUUUUAUCCAAAGAAUUUAUUUAAACAAAAUUUAUGGGUAAUAUCGGCCAUCCUUGAGUAUGAUUCUCGAUUACAAAUUUUGCGAGAUUACUAGUUUAAAAUAUUGAAACUUGCGCUUCGUCUCACCGCAAUACAAAAGAUCUCAUCUUGGGUGGAAGUUGCUGCCUGGGUCAUGGGACUUACACUUCUGGUACUACGAGUUGUAAAUGUCACCGACUUCAGGUUGAUGAAAACCUCUGUAUAUGCCCUCGAAACAGAAGACGAAGAACAUCGAGAUGAAUCUCUUCGCUACAGAUUCGAAGAAUCAUGAACUUUGGUAGUGCGCGUUAAAACUUUAACCGGUGUUUCUAGCACUCCUCGGUUUAAUCCAUUCUUACAACAAAUAAAUCCUAUUCUUUGCAUA